GUGGGCAGGGUGACAGACUGCUCUGAGAGCAUGCCAGAUUGGGAAAGAAAGAGGCAGCUGCCUGGAUAUAACAAAUGAAGUGUGCCACAGAAAGAAGGCAGGAGACCUUGGAAGCUUUAUUGGUAUCACAGGACAUGGCAGUAGCAAGGACUUGCUAAGAAAUUUCUAGCUCAAAAACCAUAAAAGCUCAAGAUCCCAGAAGGUCAACUCUGAAUCCAGACUUUCCAAUGUGAUAAGAUCUUUCCGUCUUGGAUUUCAGCUCAUCCACUCUAGAA
Molecule: long non-coding RNA, 275 nt
Organism: Pipra filicauda (Wire-tailed manakin)
Lineage: Eukaryota; Metazoa; Chordata; Aves; Passeriformes; Pipridae
Exons: 3
Source: RefSeq, a predicted model, not a curated record